This 497-nucleotide ribosomal RNA is filed under the name uncultured bacterium. RNAcentral describes it as "partial 16S ribosomal RNA". It matches the Rfam family "Bacterial small subunit ribosomal RNA", at positions 28 to 507 of the family's 1533-position model. The record is from RNAcentral.
GAUGAACGCUGGCGGCGUGCCUAAUACAUGCAAGUCGAGCGAACGGACGAGAAGCUUGCUUCUCUGAUGUUAGCGGCGGACGGGUGAGUAACACGUGGAUAACCUACCUAUAAGACUGGGAUAACUUCGGGAAACCGGAGCUAAUACCGGAUGAUAUUUUGAACCGCAUGGUUCAAAAGUGAAAGACGGUCUUGCUGUCACUUAUAGAUGGAUCCGCGCUGCAUUAGCUAGUUGGUAAGGUAACGGCUUACCAAGGCAACGAUGCAUAGCCGACCUGAGAGGGUGAUCGGCCACACGGGAACUGAGACACGGUCCGGACGCCUACGGGAGGCAGCAGUAGGGAAUCUUCCGCAAUAGGCGAAAGCCUGACGGAGCAACGCCGCGUGAGUGAUGAAGGUCUUCGGAUCGUAAAACUCUGUUAUUAGGGAAGAACAUAUGUGGAAGUAACUGUGCACAUCGUGACGGUACCUAAUCAGAAAGCCACGGCUAACUACGUG